RNAcentral lists this small nuclear RNA (328 nucleotides) under Meriones unguiculatus (Mongolian gerbil). RNAcentral's name for it is "7SK RNA (ENSMUGG00000002763.1)". It matches the Rfam family "7SK RNA". From Rfam's summary of the family: 7SK was discovered as an abundant small nuclear RNA in the mid-70s but a possible function has only recently been suggested. Two independent studies have found that 7SK RNA binds the CDK9/cyclin T complex (known as elongation factor P-TEFb). Lineage: Eukaryota; Metazoa; Chordata; Mammalia; Rodentia; Muridae. The record is from RNAcentral.
UGAUGUGAAGGCGAUCUGGCUGCGACAUCUGUCAUCCCAUUGCUUGCCAGGGUUGAUUGGGCUGAUCUGGCUGGCUAGGCCGGUGUCCCCUUCCUCCCUCCCUGCGCCAUGUGUGUUCCUCCUGAAGCUGCAUGCUUGGUCAAAGAGGAGGAGCUUUUCUGAAUAGACAAGGACAGGUUUCCAGCCAAAGGUAAACGAGUAGCUGCACUUCCCUGCUAGCAUCCGAACAAGCUCAGUUUGAUAUAGAGAGUCAUUUGGUAAGAAAGGAACCUCAACUGAGAAAAUACCCCCUCAGAUUAGCCUAUGGGCCUUCCGUGGUGCAUUUUCU